GCCGGGCACGGUGGCGCGGGCCUGUAGUCCCAGCUACUCGGGAGGCUGAGGCAGGAGGAUCGCUUGAGCCCAGGAGUUCUGGGCUGUAGUGCGCUAUGCCGAUCGGUGUCCGCACUAAGUUCGGCAUCAAUAUGGUGACCUCCCGGGAGCGGGGGGCCACCAGGUUGCCUAAGGAGGGGUGAACCGGCCCAGGUCGGAAACGGAGCAGGUCAAAAUAAACCUUAAUUCUUCUUGAAACAAUUUUUUAAGAGUGACGAAAUACACUUAUCCAUCUCAUAAGAUUCUUGUU
RNAcentral lists this signal recognition particle RNA (289 nucleotides) under Mustela putorius furo (domestic ferret). RNAcentral describes it as "Metazoan signal recognition particle RNA (ENSMPUG00000022100.1)". It matches the Rfam family "Metazoan signal recognition particle RNA". Rfam says of the family: The signal recognition particle (SRP) is a universally conserved ribonucleoprotein. It is involved in the co-translational targeting of proteins to membranes. Lineage: Eukaryota; Metazoa; Chordata; Mammalia; Carnivora; Mustelidae. The record is from Rfam by way of RNAcentral.